This 722-nucleotide ribosomal RNA is filed under the name uncultured spirochete. RNAcentral describes it as "bacterial SSU rRNA". It matches the Rfam family "Bacterial small subunit ribosomal RNA", at positions 59 to 771 of the family's 1533-position model. The record is from RNAcentral. Lineage: Bacteria; Pseudomonadati; Spirochaetota; Spirochaetia; Spirochaetales.
AAGUCGAGCGGCAGGGUUCAGCAAUGGAUCUGAGAGCGGCGGACUGGUGAGUAACGCGUGGGUGACCUACCNUGAGGAUGGGGAUAGCCAUUAGAAAUAGUGGGUAAUACCGAAUAUGGUUGCGGGACUGUGGUUCUGCAAAGAAAGGGGCUCCGGCUCCGCCUUGGGAUGGGCCCGCGUCCCAUUAGGUAGUUGGUGCGGUAAAGGCGUACCAAGCCUGAGAUGGGUAGCCGGCCUGAGAGGGUGAACGGCCACACUGGGACUGAGAUACGGCCCAGACUCCUACGGGAGGCAGCAGCUAAGAAUAUUCCGCAAUGGACGAAAGUCUGACGGAGCGACGCCGCGUGGAUGAGGAAGGCCGAAAGGUUGUAAAAUCCUUUUAUUGCUGAAGAAUAAGCGGGGGAGGGAAUGCCCUUGUGAUGACGUUAGGCAAUGAAUAAGCCCCGGCUAAUUACGUGCCAGCAGCCGCGGUAACACGUAAGGGGCGAGCGUUGUUCGGAAUUAUUGGGCGUAAAGGGCGCGUAGGCGGUUAUGUAAGCCUGGCGUGAAAUUCUCAAGCUUAACUUGGGGACUGCGUUGGGAACUGUGUAACUAGAGUCAUGGAGGGGGAGUUGGAAUUCCUAGUGUAGGGGUGAAAUCUGUAGAUAUUAGGAAGAACACCGGUGGCGAAGGCGAACUUCUAGCCAAUGACUGACGCUGAGGCGCGAAAGUGCGGGGAGCAA